This 253-nucleotide ribosomal RNA is filed under the name uncultured bacterium. RNAcentral's name for it is "partial 16S ribosomal RNA". It matches the Rfam family "Bacterial small subunit ribosomal RNA", at positions 524 to 776 of the family's 1533-position model. The record is from RNAcentral.
UACGGGGGGGGCAAGCGUUGUUCGGAAUUACUGGGCGUAAAGGGCUCGUAGGCGGCCAACUAAGUCGGAUGUGAAAUCCCCAAGCUUAACUUGGGAACUGCAUCCGAUACUGGAUGGCUUGAAUCCGGGAGAGGGAUGCAGAAUUCCCGGUGUAGGCGGAUGAAGCGCAGAUAUCGGGAAGAACACCCGUGGCGAAGGCGGCUCUCUGGAACGCAACUGACGCUGAGACGCGAAAGCGUGGGGAGCAAACAGG